AAUGAACGCUGGCGGCGUGCUUAACACAUGCAAGUCGCACGAGAACGCUUCAGCUUGCUGGAGCUAGUAAAGUGGCGUACGGGUGAGUAACGCGUGGGUAAUCUAUCUCUGAAUUGGGGAUAACAUUGCGAAAGCGAUGCUAAUACCGGAUAAAAUCCAUUAAACCUCGGUUUAUUUGGAUCAAAGGUGGCCUCUACAUGUAAGCUACUGUUUGGAGACGAGCUCGCGUACCAUUAGCUCGUUGGUAGGGUAAUGGCCUACCAAGGCAACGAUGGUUAGCUGGUCUGAGAGGAUGAUCAGCCACACUGGAACUGACACACGGUCCAGACUCCUACGGGAGGCAGCAGUGAGGAAUUUUGCGCAAUGGGGGAAACCCUGACGCAGCAACGCCGCGUGAGUGAUGAAGGCUUUCGGGUCGUAAAGCUCUGUCAAGUGGGAAGAACUCGUGCCGUACAAAUAGUGCGGUGCGCUGACGGUACCACUGAAGGAAGCACCGGCUAACUCCGUGCCAGCAGCCGCGGUAAUACGGGGGGUGCAAGCGUUAUUCGGAAUCAUUGGGCGUAAAGAGCGCGUAGGCGGUCUUCUAUGUCAGGUGUGAAAGCCCGGGGCUCAACCCCGGAAGUGCAUUUGAAACU
RNAcentral lists this ribosomal RNA (635 nucleotides) under uncultured bacterium. RNAcentral describes it as "bacterial SSU rRNA". It matches the Rfam family "Bacterial small subunit ribosomal RNA", at positions 28 to 634 of the family's 1533-position model. The record is from RNAcentral.